This 666-nucleotide ribosomal RNA is filed under the name Triticum aestivum (bread wheat). RNAcentral describes it as "partial small subunit ribosomal RNA". Lineage: Eukaryota; Viridiplantae; Streptophyta; Magnoliopsida; Poales; Poaceae. The record is from RNAcentral.
AUCCCUACCCGUGCCGCCCGUCCAGAUCCGCUCUCUCUCCCUCUCGUUCCCCCUCCCAUCGCGGCUCUCCGCCGGCUACCCACCACGGCCACGCACCGCCGGCUCGCUCCUCCUCCCAUGGACGCGAGCCCAUCUCCUCCUUCCCGAGCAGUGCUUCUCCACGGGUAGGUGACUGCUCUUCUUCCUUGCCUUGCGUCCUCUAUCGCCAGAUCCAUGGCCAUGGAGGUAAGAUGCAGCGGGCAAGGCUGCCUCAUCGACAUCAAGCUUUGUGGUGAUGAUGUUGGGCAGCGACGAACAACAAGUAGCAGCAUCACCGCCAUGGCUGGCAGCUCAGUGGUGGCUAGAUCUAUUCACUGAGGCAUCACCACCACUCCUCCGGCAAGCACGCCGGUGGUUGGCAGCUCUUCCUCAUCUUCCAACUCAAAUUGUCUAGGUAGCAGAGAUUCAUCUCCUUGUUUUUUUAAACAAGCCUAUUAUCUUCUCAAUCUUUUGAGAUGCAUCUGGUUACGUGUGUGUUUGUGUCUUUUCUGUGAUGGAUUUUUCAUCCAGCACACAUAGAAAAAAAGAUAGAUUGAUCUUUUCUUCUUUCUUCUACUACAUUUUUCGGCUAAUGAGUGGUCUUAUUUUCUGUGUAAUUUUUUGUUUCCUCGGGAAAAUGGAUUGGUC